Camellia sinensis is the source of this 564-nucleotide non-coding RNA. NCBI's taxonomy places the organism in Eukaryota, Viridiplantae, Streptophyta, Magnoliopsida, Ericales, Theaceae. The record is from RefSeq and is a predicted model, not a curated record.
AGUGAGUCAAAUAUAUUAGGAUUUAUUUUUUUAGUGUGUGUAUUAAGAAAGAUUUGUAUAGACGAAACCACAUAAGUUGAAAACAAAUCACAAAAAACCACAGCAAACGCUUUCCAAUAUCACAAGCAGCAACAACUCUCUCUCUCUCUCUUUACAGAUUGCAACUACGAUGUUGCCGAGAUGGAGCAGAGCUGUGACUUAUCUCUCUAGGGUUUCAUCACACAAGAACAACAUGGUAACUAGAAGAGAUUUUCAUGGUUUCUCAUGCCAAAGCUAUUCGAAAGUCGCCGCUGCCACCGCGACCGAGGUGCCGAUCGCAGUCGACUCUGCUGAGAAAGGUUAUGUGAGUACACCUGAGGUAUAAAUUCAGAACUAGCAAUUUGGAUUUUGUGAGAAUGUUAUUCAUUCUCUGUUGAAUGAACUUGCUGCUUAUAAAAAAAAUUCAUUAGAAUUUGAUGAUACUGAGUCGUUAAUUUUAGAACUUCAAUGCCCUAUCAAACAUGCCCUAUCUGUAUUGUGGUUAAUAGCUUUUUCUGUUGGUUGUUCUGUCCUAUAUGAACAACU